UACAGAGGUCCCAAGCGUUGUUCGGAUUCACUGGGCGUAAAGGGUGCGUAGGCGGUCGGGUAAGUCUGAUGUGAAAUCUCACAGCUUAACUGUGAAACUGCAUUGGAUACUAUUCGGCUUGAGAGUUGGAGGGGGGACUGGAAUUCUUGGUGUAGCAGUGAAAUGCGUAGAUAUCAAGAGGAACACCAGUGGCGAAGGCGAGUCCCUGGACAACUUCUGACGCUGAGGCACGAAAGCUAGGGGAGCAAACAG
Molecule: ribosomal RNA, 252 nt
Filed under: uncultured bacterium
Lineage: Bacteria
Description: partial 16S ribosomal RNA
Rfam family: Bacterial small subunit ribosomal RNA
Source: RNAcentral